Long non-coding RNA from Lagopus muta (rock ptarmigan), 1795 nucleotides. RefSeq lists it as uncharacterized. The transcript has 3 exons. The record is from RefSeq and is a predicted model, not a curated record. NCBI's taxonomy places the organism in Eukaryota, Metazoa, Chordata, Aves, Galliformes, Phasianidae.
GUGUGCCACCAAAAUGCGAAGGCUUCAGAUAAUGUAGGGACUGCAGAAAACCAUGGAUGAGACUAUAUGCCUUAGAGUGCAGCUAUAAAAACGAGGUGAAGAUGUGAGAACAGCCCAGCUGGAAAGAGGAGCCACGAAUUGUGCUAUAGGAAGGGUUGGUGCAAUGGUCUGAAUGUGCCUUGGGACUGUAUGGGGGACAUUGCAUGGUGAGCACUGCAUGCAGUACACCUGCACCCUAAUUCAGCCUUUUUUCAGGAGCACCUGAUGUGGAGAACUGAGGAAGUGGGGGGGAAAGGAAAAAAUGCAUAUUGAAAUGCAAUUAGUGAAGAAAAGCCUGGGACAAUGGUUCUGAAUUAGGACGAGCCUGAAAGGCAUCCCAGUACCGUGCACCCUGUCCUCCAGCCCUACGGACAACAAAACCCGGUCCCUGUGCGCCAGGAGGGGAGCGAGGCAAGAAAAGAAAGCAGAGGGAGGGCCGGCAGCGAGAGAAACCCAUCCUGAAUGCGCUAUCAGAUAAGGUGGAUCUGCAAGCUGCUCAGCAUCCAACCAGUAGUUCCAGGUGUUUGAGCAGCAGGAGUCACUUCUACCUUUCAACCUUCUCCUGCUAAUGAGAGUGGAAGAUGCAUUAUGCCGGAGAGGUUUUGGAGUCUUCUGGGUAGCUCUGCUAAUGAAAAACAUGAUUCCAGAGCCUGGAUCGCAGUGUGAUGCAGGGAAAGCCAACCCAUCUCAUUUCAUAGAAUCGUGGAAUGGCCUGAGUUGAGAACAACCUCAAAGAUCAUCAUUCAACCCCACUUCCAUGGGCAGGAUUGCCAACCACCUCAUCUCUGCCCGCAGCACCUGCUCUGAUUAUUUCUUUUCCUUUAAUCCUAACUGAGGGUCUUCAUUCAUGCUGACUGUGACUGGAGACUCAGAAUCAUACCAUUGCCAUUGAAACAAGUGGUGGCCAAUACACAUGAGCCAUGCAUAGAGAGCAGGAGAGAAACACAAGGCGUAGGGAAGCUUCACAUUGUAUACAAGACUUAAGCUGGGCACCCAAAAUCUGCAGGUUCACUGCCUGCCUCUGUGCUUACUGCUUCUGGAGCCCAGCGAGGAUAAUAAUCAUGGUAGCAAAUAAGUUGUCAUCUGCAGGGCUAGACAAGGUCAGGAGAAUUUUGGUGAAAUGUUCUUUUCUGUGUUAUUUUCACUGCGAUCAAAAUGGCUAAAAAUAAGCAGGAUGACAUCCACUCUAUUUUUAUUUAGAUCUCAGUAAUUGAAACACAUGGACAAAAGUCCUGCGUUUGAUUUUCUUUCAUGUGGGAUUUAGUCUUCCUUCCAAACACACACACACACACACACACACACACACACAAAUUAUAUGUGUGUAUGCAUGUGUUUGAAUAUGCGACCGUCCCAUUUAUAUUCUGUGUUUCACUUAUUAAAAACAAAGUUUCAGUCGAAAUAAAACAUGUGCUGGACCAGCCAAUAAUUGUUAUUUAUUUAGCCAGAUGUCACCUCUUGGCGAAUGACUGUGCACUUUGGGGUUUAGUCAUAAAAAAAUAAUACAUUAAAACUGUGGAAUGUUCCCCAAAGUGGAAACUUUGGAUAGAUGGACACGAGGGAGGCUGCAGCCCUGGGCCCCUCCCUGUCCUCAGUGUUUCACUCACACCUCUUUCCUGGCUCAGUCCUGGACCACCCCAACUCGGUCCCUCUGAGACGUGGCCAUGGGGACAGCUCAGUCCUGGGACUCCAUUUAGGGUGAGAUUGCAUCCAGCUGGGCUUGGUCACCUCCAGACCUGUCGACACUAUUUCAAACACU